This 470-nucleotide ribosomal RNA is filed under the name uncultured bacterium. RNAcentral describes it as "bacterial SSU rRNA". It matches the Rfam family "Bacterial small subunit ribosomal RNA", at positions 26 to 507 of the family's 1533-position model. The record is from RNAcentral.
GGCUCGAGGACGAACGCUGGCGGCGUGCUUAACACAUGCAAGUCGAACGGUAAGGCCCUUCGGGGUACACGAGUGGCGAACGGGUGAGUAACACGUGGGUGAUCUGCCCUGCACUUUGGGAUAAGCCUGGGAAACUGGGUCUAAUACCGAAUAGGACCAUGGACUUCACGGUUUGUGGUGGAAAGCUUUUGCGGUGUGGGAUGGGCCCGCGGCCUAUCAGCUUGUUGGUGGGGUAAUGGCCUACCAAGGCGACGACGGGUAGCCGGCCUGAGAGGGUGACCGGCCACACUGGGACUGAGAUACGGCCCAGACUCCUACGGGAGGCAGCAGUGGGGAAUAUUGCACAAUGGGCGCAAGCCUGAUGCAGCGACGCCGCGUGAGGGAUGACGGCCUUCGGGUUGUAAACCUCUUUCAGCACAGACGAAGCGCAAGUGACGGUAUGUGCAGAAGAAGGACCGGCCAACUACGUG